GCACAGAAUGGCGUCUCCCUUCCCUCUGGCAACAGGAAAGGAUGGCAGGUUGUGCCGCGGUGAACACUCGCAACACGUGCAGGAGGAAAGUGAGAACCUGCUUCAUUACAUCAUGUACCCUCUAUUUUGGAACUCGCUGUUAAAGAUUUUUUUUUUUCUCAUGUCAACCGAAUCCUGUCACUGUUGCCUGCCUUUCUCCUGUCUGCUUGCCACCAAUUUAUUAAGGAAAGAAAGGAUGUGCUUCCAUGGUAUUGUGUCAGUAGUAUUAUCCAUUGAAGGAUUAGUUUAAACCUUUUUACAAAGCGUUGUUUUAUCUCCCAUUUUUCUGCCUUCUUAGGGUAUGUAUAUGAAAGAAGAAAGAAUGUAAAUUUA
This is a long non-coding RNA of Scylla paramamosain (green mud crab), 372 nucleotides long. RefSeq lists it as uncharacterized. The record is from RefSeq and is a predicted model, not a curated record. NCBI's taxonomy places the organism in Eukaryota, Metazoa, Arthropoda, Malacostraca, Decapoda, Portunidae. The transcript is spliced from 2 exons.